CCUACGGGAGGCAGCAGUGAGGAAUAUUGGUCAAUGGCCGGAAGGCUGAACCAGCCAUGUCGCGUGAAGGUCAGUGCCCUAUGGGCGUUAAACUUCUUUUGUGCGGGAGCAAUAAUGGUCACGUGUGGCCAGACGAGAGUACCGUACGAAUAAGCAUCGGCUAACUCCGUGCCAGCCGCUGCGGUAAUACGGGGGAUGCAAGCGUUAUCCGGAUUUAUUGGUUUUAAAGGGUGCGUAGACUGUGAGGUAAGUCAUCGGUGAAAUACCCCGGGUCAACGGGUUGAAGUGCCAUUGAUACGGGCUUGCUGGAAUGCGGAUGCCGUGGGAGGAAUGUGUGGUGUAGCGGUGAAAUGCAUAGAUAUCACACAGAACACCGAUUGCGAAGGCAGCUUACCAAUCUAUAUCUGACGUUGAGGCACGAAAGCGUGGGUAGCAAACAGGAUUAGAUACCCCAGUAGUC
RNAcentral lists this ribosomal RNA (460 nucleotides) under uncultured bacterium. Its description in RNAcentral is "partial 16S ribosomal RNA". It matches the Rfam family "Bacterial small subunit ribosomal RNA", at positions 338 to 795 of the family's 1533-position model. The record is from RNAcentral.